Molecule: ribosomal RNA, 433 nt
Filed under: uncultured bacterium
Lineage: Bacteria
Description: partial 16S ribosomal RNA
Rfam family: Bacterial small subunit ribosomal RNA
Source: RNAcentral
AGCGAACGCUGGCGGCAGGCCUAACACAUGCAAGUCGAACGAACUCUUCGGAGUUAGUGGCGGACGGGUGAGUAACACGUGGGAACGUGCCUUUUGGUUCGGAAUAAAUCAGGGAAACUUGUGCUAAUACCGAAUGUGCCCUUCGGGGGAAAGAUGUAUCGCCAUUAGGUCGGCCCGCGUCUGAUUAGCUAGUUGGUGAGGUAACGGCUCACCAAGGCGACGAUCAGUAGCUGGUCUGAGAGGAUGACCAGGCACACUGGGACUGAGACACGGCGCAGAAUCCUACGGGAGGCAGCAGUGGGGAAUCUUGCGCAAUGGGCGAACGCGUGACGAAGCCAUGCUGCGUGAAUGAUGAAGGUCUUAGGAUUGUAAAAUUAUUUCAACGGGGACGAUAAUGACGGUACCCGGAGAAGAAGCCCCGGCUAACUUCGUG